GGGGGCGAACCGGCUUCGACGGGGAUGGUUGAAGCUCGGGUUGCAUACCGAGGUUCCAUCUGCUCGUAAAACAGGUGGGGUUAACAUAAACGCAGACGAUUAUGCGUAUGCCCUAGCCGCAUAGAUGGCUAGCGUCCUGUCGGUCUUUGCCUGCGUGACUGAACAGGGCGUCGAUUAGCAGGCUAGCUUAUCCACUUAACCUGUGAGAUGGAAAGGCGAAAAAUGAUACAGGUUAGUCUCUUGGCGGUUUUGCCCGGUUGCGAACCUUGGGGCGAAAACUAAAUAUCGGGAUAUGUAUGUAGAAGCCUUGGCGGAAAAUUUCCGGACGGGGGUUCGAUUCCCCCCGCCUCCACCA
Molecule: transfer-messenger RNA, 355 nt
Filed under: Desulfobacteraceae bacterium
Lineage: Bacteria; Pseudomonadati; Thermodesulfobacteriota; Desulfobacteria; Desulfobacterales; Desulfobacteraceae
Rfam family: transfer-messenger RNA
About the family: Bacterial tmRNA, also known as 10Sa RNA or SsrA, is named for its dual tRNA and mRNA-like properties. Its role is to liberate the mRNA from a stalled ribosome.
Source: RNAcentral